AACGUAGGUGGCGAGCGUUAUCCGGAUUUACUGGGUGUAAAGCGUGUGCAGGCGGAAGGGUAAGUGGUGUAUGAAAUCGCCCAGCUCAACUGGGCGGGGUUAUGCCAGACUGCUCAACUAGAGGACGAGAGAGGGGCGUGGAAUUCCGGGUGUAGUGGUGAAAUGCGUAGAGAUCCGGAGGAACCCCAGAGGCGAAGGCGGCGCCCUGGCUCGCACCUGACGCUCAGACACGACAGCAUGGGGAG
This 245-nucleotide ribosomal RNA is filed under the name uncultured bacterium. Its description in RNAcentral is "partial 16S ribosomal RNA". It matches the Rfam family "Bacterial small subunit ribosomal RNA", at positions 524 to 768 of the family's 1533-position model. The record is from RNAcentral.